AUACGUAGGGUGCGAGCGUUAAUCGGGAAUUACUGGGCGUAAAGCGUGCGCAGGCGGAUUGUUAAGCAAGACGUGAAAUCCCCGGGCUUAACCUGGGAAUGGCGUUUUGAACUGGCAGUCUAGAGUGCGUCAGAGGGGGGUGGAAUUCCACGUGUAGCAGUGAAAUGCGUAGAGAUGUGGAGGAACACCGAUGGCGAAGGCAGCCCCCUGGGAUGGCACUGACGCUCAUGUACGAAAGCGUGGGUAGC
Molecule: ribosomal RNA, 248 nt
Filed under: uncultured bacterium
Lineage: Bacteria
Description: partial 16S ribosomal RNA
Rfam family: Bacterial small subunit ribosomal RNA
Source: RNAcentral